UGGACAAAGCGUUUCCGCGCACCACUCUCGGGUCGAUCAUGAUGUUGCCGUAGCGCCGCGGGCCCUUCUCCCUGCGGCACAGCACAGACAGCGCCGGUUGCGGCCCCCGCACGCCGGGCACGAGAAAGGCAGGGCGGCGGGGGCUGCGCUCCCCGGGAAGGGCCGGCAGGGAGCUGGGCUGAGGGGAAAGGCGCGGAGGGCAGCGGGGCAGCGGCCCGCGGAGGGCGGCGCGGUCCGCCGGACACCAGCACUCACGUCUCGGCGGCGUUGGACUGCUCUCGGUACUGGAAUGCGGUGGCCAGGUCACCCCGGAGCCUUCCCUUUGCUGUGCGCGGCCUCGCCCCUCACGGAGCUGUUCCUGCCGGGACGGAGCCAAAGCCUCGGGAGGAGCCGGCCCGCCGGGCCCUGGGAAAGCAUCACCGUAACCCACAGCGGGUUGGGCUUGGCAGCGCUGCGGGGCCCGCCCUGGCCGAGGCAAUGAGAGCGUCGGACCGCGAGGUGUCACCGUCCUCCCGCCGCCUCGGGAUAAACUCCCCAGGGACUCGCAGCUUUCCCGGGAAACGCGGGGUGCCUUAACCCGACCUGCACUAGCACUGGCUUGAGAAGGUUGGAUGGGGGGUCGCGAAACCCUUUUGGAUGGCGUGCUGGUGGCUUAAGUGCUGGUGUCCUGGAAGUACCGGCUCUAACAGCUGCACUCCAAAUUUGUGUUUUCCACACAAGCUGGAGAUUUGGAUACUGUAAAGGUGUCCUGUGAGGACAGAUACAAGAUGAGCUCAGACAUCUGAGUUACUGCUGCAGACAUCUGUGCUCCGCCACAGCCCCGAGUAGACAGUCCCAGGCAAAAAACUGGAAACAGCAGAGAGUACUUCGCAGGAGGCCUCAAAGGCAUGGGGGAAGCAUCCUGUGGAGCAGGAGAAACUAUUUGAAAAACAAGUUAAAAAACCCACCCCAAACUAAAAGCCUGCCAAAAAGCCAGGUGUGGGAGGCAAGGGGGAAAAAAAGAAUGUUUUCGUCAUUUAUUAUUGGGAAGCUUGCAGAGUCAAUAGAGGAAUGGGAAUUGUGUUGACUCCACUGUUGCUAGCUGGGUGGUGGGACAAGUGGAUAUGGGCCUGCAGAAGUACAGUGCAAGUGUCACUGGGGUAGGAGGGGAGAGAAGUCCUUCAAUAUUUGCUUGUGUCUGGGCAAGCAAAGUUAAUGAAUGAGUUCUCGAUCCAGCCAAGCCAGAGUACUAUGGUCCUUAAAUUUGACCAGAACCAAUACAAUCCUUUGAUUUUGAAAACUUGACUCAUAUUUUCUGAAAAUUUAAUUUUGGUUUUAUGGUUGGCUCUACUGCUGUUGGACGGGGGACUUGAAAUCUGGGUAGACCUUUCCAAGAUUGUUAGAGAUCUGGUGUUUCUGUUCACGUGAGAAACAGCUGCAGCAUAGCCUUAAAAAUGUCAGUCUAUACCUGUCCAGAGUGUGCUUGCAGAACAACCCUAGAAAUUGGGCUGGAACGGACUGGAGAGGAGGGCAACUAGAAGAUGGCCUGUAACCACUGGAGCAAGGAUUCCUGAGGAGCUGCCUGUUACCUAUUGCACACAAAUCUUGUGAAGAUGAAGGUGUUGCAUCACAGGUUCAUUUUGUUAAGCUGGCCCCAGCUGGUGUCUCACUUUUUGGGAGAAUUUCUCAUUCAGCUAAUAUGUUCGCUGGUUGAAUGGCAGUGACUCUCCUCCUUAUCUCUGUGAAACACUGCUACCCCCUGAGUUAGCAGUUCAGUGCAAAGGUCUCUGCAGGUUUAUAAGUGACAAAGCUAUGCCCAGAAAAGCUCAGCUUUUUUCCCUUGGCCCCUUUUAUGUUGGUUUGUUGUUGGGGUUUUUUUUGGUUUUUUGGCUAAAAAUAGCUGGUGAGUUCUGGAACAUUUUGCGUCAUCACAAGACUGAGUGGAGCAGGAUCCAAAAACAUGUUGAUUGUAAUCAGAUUGCUGCCAUUAGUUGCUCUCUGGAUCUUACAGUAAUGUUUCACAUAUGCUUUAGAGGAUUUUCUUGGACCUGCACGACAGCAGUGCCAGAGGUAUUGCCUGGGAGAUGGGCCUACCUAGCAAGGAAUGAAUCAGCCCGUAUCCCAUAUGGCAGCUAAGAAAGGUCUUUUAAAGUGCCUUCAGUUGACUUGAAAGCUGCAGAACAAGGGCUUUAUCUCCUUCCAGGUUUGCUAUGGGUCUGUUAAAAGGCCUUGGAGCCAAAACAUACUUUUUUGUCUGUUUGUUUUCAUGAGAAUCUCCUGGCAUUGUACCAUGCCUUAUGGCAUGCCCUUGGCUUUCUUUUUUUGGAUGUGAAACAAGUUUAUUCACAGCAAAGCAAAUGUGAAGGUGCCAGUGUGUAGUAACAGAAGAUGUACACCCACUAUUUCCUGCAACACUUGGGAUGCAUUCUGUAACUAGUGAAUGACACCUUGAAAUACAAUAAAAGGGAUCUACAGUGCUGAGCCUGGGUCUUCCUGUGGCCCUAGCUUGGAUGUUGCUAGAUUGAGAGACCUUGUGCCACAGUGCAUCAUACAACACAAUGCUGAGCAGACCAGCUGAGUCCAGUUUCUACCAUCUUAACUUUCUGCAACUUAGUCUCAUAACUAAGAAAGGAAGGAGGUUUAUGGGUAUAGGCAAUGUUUAACUGUCAAGGAAGGACAGAGAGGGGCAUAAUGCUUUCCUAGAGCAUUUUCUCUGUCUGGAGGACCAUGGCUGCUUAUAAAAUCACAGGAAUGCUUCCCUGGUGUAAAACUGUGUAAUUAUAUGAAAUUUGGUUUAGAUUUGGUUCUCGAUGGCCCUGAGAUGGAAUUUUAAUCUAUGAUUCUUACCCUCUUGAGCCUGCAGUUAAAGGCAUGGAUCUCCCAGUCUUAGACGUAAUCUAUUUAAGGCCAAAAUGCCACUGCUUUCAAAUAGACAUGAAAGAAGCACAGAGCAAUCUAGACUGAAAAGGACACUGGAGGUCUCUAGUGUAAUCCUCUUGGCAAAGCCAGGACAAAUUCAAAGAUAGAUCAGAUUGGUCAGGACCUUCUCCUGACAGCUUUUGAAAAUCUACCGGGAUGGAGAUGCUUGUAGUAGCCUUGAAAAUCUCAGAAAUCAUCAUGCUGCUGCUAAUCAAUGCCCUGAGAUGUCUGAUGGAAAUACAAAAAAACACAAAACAAAUGUGGAGAGCUAUCAGUGUGACUAAAAAGAUGAAAGAAUCACAGAGCCCAAGUGAGGUGUAUAUGAACUAUUUGUCCUGAUGCUGUGAGAGAACAAUUAAUAGAAGUGCCCUGAAACCUAUUUCAGCUUGCUGCAGUGACGUGAUCAAAGAAAAUUAGCAAUACUGUGUCAGUAUUGUAUCAGUGGUGUCUGCCAGAUCACAGAUGGUGUCUUGGCUGCUGUUAGUAGGUGCUGGAUUCAGUGUGUCAGAGAUAAACAGGCCUGGUCCUAACAGGGAGACACUUAGCUUUAAAAAUAUAAUGUGCCAACCUGAGAUUUUUGAUGGAUGAGAGACAUAGAAGGAAAAAUAAAUACUGGAGCUAAACUUGAGUUCUGCUGGGGACAUCAAUAUAUUUUUAAUAAGGGUUGUUGAUAUGUAAACAUGAAUAGAAAAAAGUGCAGAUCCUAUCACUCGUAUCUUCAACCCAAGCUAUUAAACUUCCUUUUCUUUGCAGCAGCAGUUCUGUGUUUGUGGGGUUGGGCAGGACUGAAAAGUUUCGGUUCUCAAGACCUUAAUUUCUCUAACACUAGUGAAGAACCAGAAUUUAUUAAUUGUGGUUUCCAGCCAAAAUUUACGAUGCUGUUUCCCCCUACCACUUCACCUCUGACUCUCAGCACCAUUUUCCCUAGGUUGCCUUCCCUCCAUGUUCCCCACAAACUUUGUUUUUCAGUGGUACAAGCCUGCUCUUGGGGCUGCAUUCUUGCCUUUUGCCACCAUGUGCUUUCAGAGACAGUGACUAGAAAAAAUUAUGGAGGGGUGACAAAGCACUUUAGAGGGUGGAGCACACUGAAUUUUAAACUGUCAUUCAUUACAGUUGCCAAAUGAAAAAUCAAUUGUUGGUGACCUUCCUAUUUAAGCUCAAAUAGACUGUGUGCUGCUAUAUUGCUCCAGCCCCUUCUUACCUCUCCCUGUCUUGAGUAGGGCUCUCCCACUCCAUCCUUUUGCCCCAGGAAGUUCUGCCUUAUUUUUCAUCUCCCUGUAUUGAGGGCACUUGUUCAAAUGCACUAAACUUGCAGAGUAAGACACAAGUCUGAUCUGCUUCUGUUGCUCCUUCACUGUAGUCUUGGUGUUUGUCCAUCUUGAUAUAAAUUACCCUUUAUCACAUCUCUGGGAGGCAGAUCAGUAUCACCUGUGCUUAAUUUGAGAUAAACUGCACAGUCCAAAAACUGCACUGGGUAGGAGGCCUUUUGGAAAAAGCAGACCAGGAUGUUGAACACCCUAACUACAAGUCUCUGGUCUUUAUCUCAAGAUCAUCCUCCCUGAUGAACUAUGGAGAACUAGUGGCUGCUCUGCUCUUUCUCACACCCAGGGAUUUCUCAAAUGCCAUGUUUUCUGAUGUCUGUAGCUCACAAGAUGGGUGUGCAUCUCUGUAUUGUACCAUGUAACAUUGUGUACUCCUCAGAGUACAGCACCCUGAGAAGUUGUUGAAUGAUACUGUGGUUGCUGUCUCACCUGGUCACCAGUUGUACUGAAGAAAUCUGGUUGGUGUAUUGCAGGCACAGCUGCACAGGUUCACUUGCUGUGUGAAGUCACAACUUUACAAUGGAGAGAGAACUGCAUGGCCCAAGACUGUGCAGCAAGUAUGUGGAAGAACAGAAAAAUCCCUAAUCUGUAUUGUAAGAGCAUCUUCUCUGAUCACCUGACUUGGAAACUGCUUGGAUUUGGCUUUAAUUUUUUUUUUUUUAAAUACAGUUUUGUAAUUUUCAGCAUAGCCUGUGGGAUACUGAAGGUGCAGGCUUGAAUACGGACUGUUGCAUCUGUCGAGGAGGUUGGUGGGAGGUUUGUGGGUUGUAGGAAGGAAGAGUUUUGAGCAGCCGUUGGAUCAGUUCUGUAAAUAGACUUGUUGGCUGAAGAGCAGGUUUUGUUUAGAAAGUGUGAAACCCUUCAUAGACACCUUUUCAUAUUAUUACCCAUCAGAGGAAGCAGAGCUCAACGGAGUCAACUGUGUUUAGAAUUUGUGAACCAUUUGUUCAGACUUAUGUGCUGACACCUCAGUUAGAGAAUAAUCUGUGGUUUCCUCUUCCUUAGUAGAAGAUCAGGUAGAAUUUGGAAUAGGUUUCACUCAGAAGUGAAAUUUAAAUUGAUGUAUUUAUCACAGUGAAUGGUAAAACAAUAAAUUAUUGGUAAAUAAUUGGUAAA
Long non-coding RNA from Corvus hawaiiensis (hawaiian crow), 5336 nucleotides. RefSeq lists it as uncharacterized. Lineage: Eukaryota; Metazoa; Chordata; Aves; Passeriformes; Corvidae. The record is from RefSeq and is a predicted model, not a curated record. The transcript has 3 exons.